AGUGAAUAGAUACCCCUGGUAGUCCACGCCGUAAACGACUGGGUGCUAGUUGUCCGGGCAGCUUGCGUGUUCGGUGACGCAGCUAAACGCAUUAAGCACCCCGCCUGGGGAGUACGGUCGCAAGAUUAAAAACUCAAAGGAAUUGACGGGGGCCCGGCACAAGCGGUGGAGCAUGUGGUUUAAUUCGACGCAACGCGCAGAACCUUACCAACCCUUGACAUCCCGGUCGCGCUUUCCAGAGAUGGAUCGCUUCAGUUCGGCUGGACCGGAGACAGGUGUUGCGAUGGCUGUCGUCAGCUCGUGUCGUGAGAUGUUGGGUUAAAGUUCCCGCAACGAGCGCAACCUCGCCUUAGUUGCCAUCAUAAGUUGGGCACUCUAGA
RNAcentral lists this ribosomal RNA (380 nucleotides) under uncultured bacterium. Its description in RNAcentral is "bacterial SSU rRNA". It matches the Rfam family "Bacterial small subunit ribosomal RNA", at positions 774 to 1144 of the family's 1533-position model. The record is from RNAcentral.